GACGAACGCUGGCGGCGUGCUUAACACAUGCAAGUCGAACGGAAAGGCCCUGCUUUUGUGUGGUGCUCGAGUGGCGAACGGGUGAGUAACACGUGAGUAACCUUCCCUUGACUUUGGGAUAACUUCAGGAAACUGGGGCUAAUACCGGAUAGGAGCGCCUGCUGCAUGGUGGGGGUUGGAAAGUUUCGGCGGUGGGGGAUGGACUCGGGGCUUAUCAGCUUGUUGGGGGGGGAGUGGCUUACCAAGGGUUUGACGGGUAGCCGGCCUGAGAGGGUGACCGGUCACAUUGGGACUGAGAUACGGCCCAGACUCCUACGGGAGGCAGCAGUGGGGAAUCUUGCACAAUGGGCGGAAGCCUGAUGCAGCAACGCCGCGUGCGGGAUGAAGGCCUUCGGGUUGUAAACCGCUUUCGCCUGUGACGAAGCGUGAGUGACGGUAAUGGGUAAAGAAGCACCGGCUAACUACGUG
Molecule: ribosomal RNA, 468 nt
Filed under: uncultured bacterium
Lineage: Bacteria
Description: partial 16S ribosomal RNA
Rfam family: Bacterial small subunit ribosomal RNA
Source: RNAcentral